GUUAGGUAUCUCCAUUAGAAUUCAAAGAUCCAUGAGUGUUAGUGUUGCCUUCAAAGUUGUCAUACUGGUAGGUUAUAUAGAUUUUUAAAAAACACUACUGCCACUUAUCAAGACAAUUGGAGAGCAUUUCUUCUAGAAUUAUAUUUGAAGUCACUUUGAAGCCACCACACUACUUCCAAAAUAUAUUGGAGAAAAUAGGCUUGUAGCACAACCUCUUAGUAAAGAUAGAAGCAUCUACAAAACUUCCUCUUGAAAGGAGCUUAUGUCCAAUCCCCUUUGCAAUUAUACAGUCUAGUCUACAUCUAAAGAAAGACCAUUCCAUUUUGUGUGUAAGAGUUUUGUUUUUUUGUUUUUGCUUUUUAGGAAUGAACCAGCGGCAAAUUCCCAGGUUAGGGGUCAAAUCAGAGCUACAGCUUCUGGCCACAGCCACAGCAACACUAGAUCCAGAUCUAAGUAGCAUCUGCAACCUACACCUCAGUUCACAGCAAUGCCAGAUCCCCGACCCAUAGAGCGAGGCCAGGAGUCGAACCUGCAUUCCCAUGGAUACAGCUGGAAUCAUUUCCACUGUGCCACAAUGGGAAUGCCUGCCUGUGUUGAGUUUUAACUUUCUUACUCAAGGACUUUUGGAUAUUAGCAUAACUCAAAUUCACUUUCAAAGGAUGGCUCUUUGCCACCACUUAGUAAUCAAUGAAUUAGCUUUUCCUGCUCAAAAGUAGAAAAUAGCUCUUCAAUAUACUCAUAAAACCAUAUAGGGAAAAUAUGUUUUAUUAAUAUACCCAAGACCUUUAUUCCCUCUUUUUAAUUGUAAGGAUGGAUUCUCUACAUAACUAGAGAUAUUCAAAUUGUGAAUUACCAAAAGAACAUUAAUAUUGCAUUUAAACAAAAUAGAUAUUUCAAAAAUUAUUAGAUGUUAAUGAUAAGGGACUAAAUCAAUUGUGCUACAAAAUAUAGCACAGUAUAAAGAAAUAUCUCAACUUUUUACCUACUUCAAUAUAAAAAAAUUUAGUAGCAACAAAAUUUUUAAGUAAAAAUAGAAAAUAAAAAUAUUUUCAUAUCAAGCUGAUAUAUCAGUGUUGAAUUUUUAAAAUAUUCUCUAUCAGUGCUUGUCUAUGUACAUAAAUAAUGAUCAUCAUUUAGAUGUAAUCUCAAUCAUAUUUUAAUAAAUAUAUUAUUAACAUUUUCUGCCUUCCUUUCCUUCCUUCCUUCUUUCCCUCCCUCCCCCUUCCUUCCUUCCUUCCUUUCUUCGUUCUUUCUUUUCUUCCUUUUGUUUUUUUAAAGGCUGUACCCACAGCAUAUGGAAGUUCCCAGGCUGGGAUGGAAUCAGAGCUACAGUAGCCAGCCUAUGCCACAGCCACAGCAAAGUGGGAUCUGAGCCAAGCCUGCAACCUACACCACAGCUCACGGCAAGACUGGAUCCUUAACCCACUUAUGGAAGCCAGGGAUAGAACCCUCAUCAUCAUGGAUACUAGUCGGACUCAUUUCUGCUAAGCCACAACAGAAACUCCCUAUUAUUAUCAUUUCAGAUUUAAGAACAUUUUUCAAGACCCUUUAAAAACAAUACCUAUAGGGAGCCCCUACUGGCUCAGUGGGCUAAGGAUAUAGCAUUGUCACUACGGUGGUGCAGUUCACCCUUGUGGCCUGUGUUUGAUCCCUGGCCCAGGAACUUCCACGUACCACUGCUGUAGCAAAAAUAAUCAAACAAACAACAAAAAAAAUAUUGCCUAUAACUAAAGGUAAAUAAAUCUAAAUUUUCUCCAAGGCUUUAAUUUCUUUCAAAUAAGCCAUAAGGUUAUGGCCACCAUAAAUUAGUUUAAACUAACUUAAAAUUAUCAUUAUAGCCAAACAAAUGAAAAACAACAAAACCUUUGAGCGUUGUAACAAUUAUCCAUGGCAUUUUCUCUUUGCCAGUUCAGUUACCUUAUAUUUGUAUUUUUCUAUAUAACUAUAUUCUAAUAAAUAUUUUUCACUAAUAUUUAGUUCCUUUGAAUUUUUUUCAGACUGCCAAUGACUGUGUGUGCUAGGUUUUUUCCCCUCUCAAUGGAUUUUUAAAUUUUUUAAAAUACUUUUUAUUUUUAUAGUCAAAUCACAAAAUAGUCGAUAACUUGGUUAAAAAGUUUUUGGUUUUAUCUUUGCUUUGUUUCUCUCUGCUUCCAUCAUCACCCUCUCUUAUUCAAACCCACACAGUUACACAUCAAAACAAACAAACAAAAAAACAACAACCCACGAAACAACAAAACCAGCCAUCCAUGUGGCAGGGAAAGAAGAGCAGGAGUAUGGGCCUGAAUCACUGUGCUGAAUUAUGAGCUAGCAAUGCACAGGAGCUGUUUUUCCUGAAUCAGUAAUCUCAUAGUUCAGUGAUAAUUCCACAGGGAUCAAUGAAAAAGGAUGAAAGAAAAGAAAAUGAAAAUGUUCCUGUCAUGACACCAUUUUAUAAGCAAUAUUUGAACAUCUUGCAAACUUUUAAAAGAAUGUUGCUCUUUGCCACUCAUCAACUGUAAAACUAUCCAUGCAAUUUGUUAUUAUAAAGUUUACUCCCAUAUUACAGAAAGAUUUUUAUCAAUGGCUGUGGAAAUUAAAUCAAUAAAGACUUCCAAAGGAGCGUCUAUAAAAUAUGUCACAGAGAAGCAGCUGGGACCAAUUCACUUUGUAUGCAUAUACAUAUAGAUGCAUAUCUCAUUCCAAAAAACUUAAGAGAGUUCAUAAAAUUACAUGAAAUGAAGCCAACGAAGCAUUUAAUAUACAAAAAUGAGGUAAACAGAAAAUAAAAGUACAAAAGGAAAUUAGAGCUAAGAGUGAGAACAGUAUAAAAAUAAUAUCUAUGAAAAUGUACAAGGCAGAUAAGUAUUUUUACUUCCCCAGAGCCAUUACCCCUUUCUGUUUUAUGUAUUUAGCCUUUCAGCUAAGAUUUGCACUGGUGUCAUUCUAGGUAAUGAGAUUGAGUAGCAAUAUUUUGAAUGACUUAUCAAAAAGAAUUUUUUGAUAAUUGUGAAACAAUUUUAUAUAAUUCUCUGACAAAGACCUUCCUCCCUUGCUUUAUGUCUUUAAAUAUGAAAUGAGAAGUAAUGUUCGGAGCCCUUGCAGUAAUUUUGUGGCCAUGAGGACAAUAGAGAUUUCAAACUUAUAUUGCAAAAUCAUAAAGCUAUUACCAAAAAAUAUCAACCAUAAUAUACCACAAGCUUGUUAUGGGAGAAGCAGGCAUCUCUGUUUUAGUAAGCCAUAAUUAAUCUAGUUUUCAGUUACUUGUUGCUGAUCACAUAUUAAUUUAAACACACUAUAUUCUAAUUGAAAACACAAUGACAUUAAGGAGAAAUCUACCUUUUAAAGAAUUUUGAUACUUGAUACAAUCAGGUGAGAAUAAGGGAUUUAUAAAGUUAAUACUUAAGAGAUUGUAAAGGAAAACAUAACUUACUACUUUCUCCACCAUCACUCAAGGGAGUCAUCAUUCUUGCCUGAAAGCCUUUAAAACACAAAAGCUAUCAACCUAUGACUCAUGGUGGCAGAGUUAAUUAUUAUCACUGUUGGGAAGCAGAGGCAAAAUUUUGGCACAAACAUCAGAAAAUGGCCCUACACAAAAGUCACUUUUUACCAUACAAGAAAGCAAAUAUUUCUUUUUUUCUUGAUUUUUUUUAACUAUAUGUGCUCUAGAAAUGCAAAGAAGUAUAUCUAAAAAGGAAGCCUCUUACAUAUCAUUGCCACACCAUGAUUACCUACAGACCAGACAAUGAGAUUAGCCAUUUUUGUCUACAAGUAAGUGGUAUGCAAAAAAUGUACAAUUUAAGAAAUUAUUUGUCAAUUCCAAAAAUUAACAUUGUUCUUAUGUAAAGUCUGCUUCUUUUAAUUCAUGUCUGAAUGUUGAUGGAAGAUAGAUGAACUGGGAAAGUACUGAUCCUUGGAAUUUUUGAUAGAUGACUGAUAAUGGAAAAAAUGGAAGAAGAUAGAGAACUUUAUUUAUAGAUCUUUCAUAGGAUCAUCAAUUCCCUCUUGAGAAUGGAAGAGUUUUAAUAGUGACUAAAGAAUUAGUCUUUUUAAUGAAGUCUUGCAAAAGAAAUGCUGUAGAAAAUAUGAUUGUCCUUUAAAUCAUCCCUUUAAUUACCUACUGGAAAAACAAGAGACUAACAGAUUCUGGAAUGUUAAAACUAGAGGGGACCAGAGAAGCCACCUAGUUCAUUCUCAAUAUAUUUUAGACAGUGAAAGAGAAGCUUGCACAAAGCUUCUACAGCUGAUGUCAGAAAAUGUUAUGGUAAUUUAAAUUAACUAUUUUCAUAUGUAUAUCUUUAAGACUAGAUAUGACAUGUUUUUAUCAGUCAACAAAAUUGAAAGUAUUGAAAACAGUAUAAUUUUAUUUACAUAAUUUAAUUUGAAUUAGAUUGUUAAUGUCAGCAAAAGAUUUAUCAACAUUUUUAACUUUAUCAACAUUUUUAACUUAGCCAAAACUAACUGAUCCUAUUUUGAGACUGCUGUUUCUUUCUUCCUUUUAAGGAACUGUCCUCAACAAAGUUUACUUCGUAUUGAAUGCCCUAUUUGUAAGGCCAUUAACUUCUUACAUCUGGAAUACUUUAAGUAAAAAUUAAAGGAUCACUAGAUGGACUGCUAAUUCUAUGAAGGAACUCUUUAAACAAAGAUAUAUGCUGCCAUAUAUGAAUUAAAAGAGAGUCAAUGAUAUAUACAGGAUUAAAAGAAGUGUGGGAUGAGUUUGAAUAUAAUUUCUUUACAAGUAUAAAGUUACUUAAGAAUUUGAUAUUCUUCCUUUACUCCAGGAUGCUUUCUUUGAAGAGCAGAGAUUCAAAGUUUAUUUUCUGUUAUUGCUUUCACUUGUUUCAGUAGUACUCUUUCCACCAUAUUUAUUUUAUUUACUUGUGAACUCAGCUGGGUAUGAAUAAUUAGGCUUUUCUUUUUUCCCUUGAGUUUU
Molecule: long non-coding RNA, 4909 nt
Filed under: Sus scrofa (pig)
Lineage: Eukaryota; Metazoa; Chordata; Mammalia; Artiodactyla; Suidae
Description: lncRNA (ENSSSCG00025011656.1, ENSSSCG00105023624.1, ENSSSCG00110000300.1)
Source: RNAcentral